AUUGGCCCGAUCUGUUUGUCUGUGUUCUUCGAUCUUCCUCCUUGGCCUCGGCCUCAAGGAAAAGGAGAAGGAUCAAUUCACCAACAUCAUUACAUAAUAUAUAUAUUAGAAGAAUCUAUAAGUUAAGGAAAGUCAAAGGCACAUUAUUCAAUUCCUCGAUCUUGCAGCUACCAUGGCGGAACGUAUUCGUACGAGACCAGGGGUAGAGGUAGAGCAUUAUCUAAGUUUAGGGAUUGGGAUGUGAAUAAUCCAUCAACAGCUAAGGAAUGAGAGAAGGAGCGGUGCUAAUGGAUCAUCAUAAUAACCAAGUCCCAUUAUAAAAAAUGGUUUUGCUGCAUAAACACAUCUGCAGAAUCAUCAUCAAUUACCUAUUCCGGAUUUCUGGAGCUACCUAGCUUCAUUAAAGCUAUAUAUAUAUAUAUUGUACGUUCUUGGGCUUUAUUAGGAAUCAUCAGUAUUUAUUGCAUCAUAUACUUCUCUCUGUAUUCUUUACAGUAGAGUUUGAUAUUUGUGUAUAAACUAUAUACUUAUUUAUUCAAUCGAC
Long non-coding RNA from Glycine soja, 544 nucleotides. RefSeq lists it as uncharacterized. The record is from RefSeq and is a predicted model, not a curated record. Lineage: Eukaryota; Viridiplantae; Streptophyta; Magnoliopsida; Fabales; Fabaceae. The transcript has 3 exons.